GUUGCACCAAAAUUUGGAUCCGUA
RNAcentral lists this non-coding RNA (24 nucleotides) under Arabidopsis thaliana (thale cress). The record is from RNAcentral. Lineage: Eukaryota; Viridiplantae; Streptophyta; Magnoliopsida; Brassicales; Brassicaceae.